Molecule: ribosomal RNA, 538 nt
Filed under: uncultured archaeon
Lineage: Archaea
Description: bacterial SSU rRNA
Rfam family: Archaeal small subunit ribosomal RNA
Source: RNAcentral
GCCAGCAGCCGCGGAACACGGCAGCUCUAGUGGUAACAAUUUUAUUGGGCCUAAAGCGUCCGUAGCCGGUUUAAUAAGUCUCUGGUGAAAUCCUGUAGCUUAACUGUGGGAAUUGCUGGAGAUACUAUUAGACUUGAGACCGGGAGAGGUUAGAGGUACUCCCAGGGUAGAGGUGAAAUUCUGUAAUCCUGGGAGGACCGCCUGUUGCGAAGGCGUCUAACUGGAACGGUUCUGACGGUGAGGGACGAAAGUUAGGGGCGCGAACCGGAUUAGAUACCCGGGUAGUCCUAACUGUAAACGAUGCGGACUUGGUGUUGGGGUGGCUUUGAGCUGCUCCAGUGCCGAAGGGAAGCUGUUAAGUCCGCCGCCUGGGAAGUACGGUCGCAAGACUGAAACUUAAGGAAUUGGCGGGGGAGCACCACAACGCGUGGAGCCUGCCGGUUUAAUUGGAUUCAACGCCGGACAUCUCACCAGAGGCGACAGCUGUAUGAUAGCCAGGUUGAUGACUUUGCUUGACUAGCUGAGUAGUGGUGCAUGG